GUUGUUUUCUCGAAAAUCAAUUAAAAAAGGCCGGAUUUUGUGUUGUAUUGACUUUAUCAGCUUUCUGCACUUUUUUCUUGUCUUUUUUAAUGCACUUUUCGUUUAACAAGUCAACAUCAAUUUCUUUUGUUGUAAAAGGGUCAUUGGAAGGUGGCUUUCUUUUCGGAGAAAGUGUUUAUAGCCUUUGGCCUCUGCAAUCGGAGAGAUUGAGGUCUGCAGCGUAGAUCCUUCGGGGUUAGAUACAUUUGUGCUAAGUUAUAGCCUUUCAUAGACAACUUGUUGACUAUGAUCAGUCAUGUAGCUUACUCGCUUAUGCUAUUUUACCUAC
Molecule: ribosomal RNA, 328 nt
Filed under: uncultured Neocallimastigales
Lineage: Eukaryota; Fungi; Neocallimastigomycota; Neocallimastigomycetes; Neocallimastigales
Description: partial large subunit ribosomal RNA
Source: RNAcentral